Molecule: ribosomal RNA, 433 nt
Filed under: uncultured bacterium
Lineage: Bacteria
Description: partial 16S ribosomal RNA
Rfam family: Bacterial small subunit ribosomal RNA
Source: RNAcentral
AACGAACGCUGGCGGCAUGCCUAACACAUGCAAGUCGAACGAGACCUUCGGGUCUCGUGGCGCACGGGUGCGUAACGCGUGGGAACCUGCCCUUAGGUUCGGAAUAACUCCCCGAAAGGGGUGCUAAUACCGGAUAAUUACUUCGGACCAAAGAUUUAUCGCCUUUGGAUGGGCCCGCGUUGGAUUCGCUGGUUGGUAGGGUAAAAGCCUACCAAGGCGACGAUCCAUAGCUGGUCUGAGAGGAUGAGCAGCCACACUGGCACUGAGACACGGCCCAGACUCCUACGGGAUGCAGGAGUGGGUAAUAUUGGACAGUGGGCGAAAGGCUGAUCCAGCAAUGCCGCGUGAGUGAUGAAGGCCUUAGGGUUGGAAAGCUCUUUUACCCGGGAUGAUAAUGACAGUACCGGGAGAAGAAGCUCCGGCUAACUCCGUG